Molecule: long non-coding RNA, 205 nt
Filed under: Gossypium barbadense (sea-island cotton)
Lineage: Eukaryota; Viridiplantae; Streptophyta; Magnoliopsida; Malvales; Malvaceae
Description: long non-coding RNA (GBAR_LNC001344)
Source: RNAcentral
UGGAGGUAACCAUGGUAGCUCAUCAGGAAAAACAUCUGGAAAGUCUUUAACUGUUCUGAUAUCCUUAACAGAAGAAACCCUAGAAUCUAGAACACUAAUGUAGGCCAAGUACGCCUCACAACCCUUACGAACCAACUUCUCAGCCCUUAAUGUAGAAAUCACAUUUGUCAAGUAGUUUUGACGCUCCCCCAUUAUAACUACCUCG